GUUCCCUGCCCGCUGCUGCCGGAGACCACUCCGUCCCUCUGCCGUUGGCCACCUCCCCAACUUGCAGCUGCUCGGACUUGGAGGAGGAACGCAUUGAGGACCUUGCUUUGUUAGGUCCAGCAUCGUCCACUAACUCCAUGAAACUAAGAUCCUGUUGAAAGUUCAAAUUGAAAAAAGCUUUGUACCAUGGGUGCUGAGAAGCAAGAGACCAAUGGUGGUACAAGACAGUGUUGCUGCUGCUGCCUCUGUGUUGGUCGAAACACGUGGCCAGCUCGGUCAGCGGCGUCGGCGGGAUGAGGACAUCUACAAUGUGAAGUGCUGCUGCUAGCCGCUGGAUCUGGCAUGGACAAGAAAGAAGAAAACAUUGUUGGAAGCUGUGCGAGUUGAAUGUAUCUCUGCACUAGAGCUUCCUAGCAGUUUAGUUAACGCAGCCGCAAGAGUAGGAGGCACCGGUGUCCUCAGCGACACGCCGUUAGUUGAAGUGGUAUCCACAACUAUGACAAUGGCCUUCUCGUAGAACGCCUCGCUCCUCUUUUUUUUAGUUCUACACUUUCAGCAUAUUCCAUGCGUUUGAUGCAAAAUAUUACUGUAAAUAAAUAUCAUGCAAUUUCCUUGACUCUGGAAUGUUGUUUUCUGACUUCUUUUUUUGCAUCUUUUGCAGAUUGCUCCAACGGCAUCUCUCCCUCAAUCCCCUUUCUCCACUCAACUAGCUUACACCGCUGCAGCCUCUUGGUGCUGCUCCCCGCUGCUCGUCCCACCUUGCCGCUCAGCGGCAGGCCACCACACCACACCCACCCUACUCCCUUGCCGCCAGACACCCCCACCCACCCAAUCCCCUCCGGCCGCAGGUUCCCGCGUGUCCGCCAUGCCCAAGACGUCGGCGUCAAGAACCUCCACCUAGUGCUGGUCCUCGCCAUCCGGAGCGCCUGAGCUGGGCGCCCCUGUCACGCCCGCUAUGGUUCCUUCUGUUGACCUUGGCUGCCGGCGUCGGCCACAUCCCAAACUUCCAGCUGCCAGUUUGACAACUAAACAGAUCAACCAUGGGCAAGGAGAAGACGCACAUUAACAUCAUGGUCAUUUGCCAUGUUGACUCUAGCAAGUCGACCACCAUAGGCCAUCUGGUUUGAGAAGGAAGCCACUGAGACCCGCCCUCUUUACACGUUCACUCUUGGAGUGCAGCAGCAGCUGCAAAGUUUCUUACCACAUAACCUUGUAUAAGAAGAGGACCAAGAAUGGAUGCAUACAAUAGUGGAAAAGAAAGUGACCCUGAAUUCUACCGCGAGGGUUCCAAGUUUUCAAUAUGGUAGAGGAACAGGAGGAGUAUGUCCGUGAUGUGGCCUGGAGGGUGGCUUGGCUACCGGAUCAGGCCGGUCAUGGUUUUUUUAAAGUUGUGCUUGGUCUUUGAUGACCUGAGAUGCUUCUCUGGUGUGAGUGUGCCUGACAAGAUUACUAUUGUCAGAGUCAUAUAUCCACUUUGUGCAAAGCUGAUUCAUUGCUAGUGCUAUCCAUUGCUGCUAGAUCCGGCUUUGUUAGAUCCAUCAUCAUCAACUAACUCCAUGAAAUUUUGUUGUAGGAUCCUGUUGAAAGUUCAAACUGAACAAAGCUUUGCACUAUGGGUGCUGAGAAGCAAGAGACCAAUGGUGGUACAAGACAGUGCUGUUGUUGGCGCCGUGUUGGUCGAAACACGCGGCCAGCUCGGCCAUCAACACGCGUCAGGAUGAGGACAUCGAGAAUCUGAAGUGCAGCUGCAAGCCGCUCGAGUUGGCCUGGACAAGAAAGAAGACAUCAUUGUUCAACUUCCUAGCAGUUUUGUUAACGCAGCCGAUAGAGCAACAUGAAUCAAUGUCCUCAACGACAAGCCGGUGGUUGAAGUGGUAUCCACCACUAUGGCGACAGCCUUUCGUAGAUUGGUCUCACCACAUCUCUCCUUCAAUCCCUUUUCUCCACUCAAUGUGCUGACACCGCUGCAACCGCUCAGUGCUUCUCCCCACUCAGCGGCCGCCCGCCCCACCACACCCACCCGACUCCCUCACCGGUACACACCACCACCCACCCAAUCACCUCCGGCCCUGCUUCCUGCGCGUCUGCCAUGCCCAAGACGUCAGUGUCAAGAACUUCCAUCUGGUGCUUGUCCUCGCCAUCCGGAGCGCCUGGAGCUUGGCGCCCCCGUCAUGUCCGCCAUGGUUCCUCCUGUUGACUUGGGCUGCUGGCACCCCUGUCAUGUCCGCCAUGGUGCCUGCUGUUGACUUGGGCUGCUGGCGCCCCUUCGCCCCUCCCAGCCCCGAUGCACCAAUCACGGGCAACAACGCAAGCAGCAACUGAGAUUGGCACUGGAGGUGGAGGACUCCUCCACGGCGUCUGCGUCCUGCCUUUGUGGAGCUCGCUGCAAAGAUGCAAGGGGGAGGAGAUGGUCCUCGCCUUCAUGGAGUCGCAGCUGUUGUCAGCGACAUUCUGGAAAACCUCCCUGAGCUGUGGCCGCCAGCAACAUCACCGACCUGCUGCUGCCGGAGACCACUCCAUCCCGCCGCUGUCAGCCACGUCCCAAACUUGCAGCUGCCAGAAUCCUGUUGAAAGUUCAGACUGAACACUUUGCACCCUGGCUGUUGAGAAGCAAGAGACCAAUGGCGGUACAAGAUGGUGCUGCUACCGUGUUGGUCGACACACACGGCCAGCUCAGCCAUAAACAGCAGCAUUGGCGGGAUGAGGACAUCGAGAAUGUGAAGUGAAGCUGCAAGCUGUUGUAGCUGGCAUGGACAAGAAAGAAGACAAGAUUGUUGGUAGCUGUGUGAGUUUAGUGUAUUGCUGCACUACAGCUUCCUAUCAGUUUAGUUAACCCAGCCGAAAGAGUAGCAGGCAGCGGUGUGCUCGGCGACACACAGGUAGUUGAAAUGGUAUCCACCACUAUGACGACGGCCAUCUCGUAGAUCGCUCCCACCACAUAUCUCCCUCAAACCCCUGUCUCCACUCAAUUUGCUGACACUGCCACAGCCGCUUGGUGCUGCUCACCUCACCUCGCCACUCAGCGGCCGACCACCCCACCACACCCACCCAACUCCCUCACCGUCAGACACCCCCACCGACCCAAUCCCCUCCGCCCGCCAUGCCCAAGACGUUGGCGUCAAGAACGUUCACCUGGUGUUGGUCCUCGCCAUCCAGAGCACCUUGAGCUGGGCGCUCCCAUCACGCCCGCCAUGGUGCCUCCUGUUGACCUGGGCUGCCGACGCCCCUCUGCCUCCCUCCAUGCCCCGACAUACCAGUCACGGUCAACGACACAAGAGGCAGCUCAGACCGGAGGUAGAGGUGGAGGACCUGCCGUCCAUGUCCUGCCUCUGUGGAGCUCGCUGCAGAUAUGCAACAGGGGGGAGAUGUUCCUCGCCUUCAUGGAGUUGCAGCCGCCAUCGGCAACGUUCUGGGAAACCUCCAUGAGCUCCGGCCGCCAGUGAUGUCCCCAACCUGCUGCUGCCCGAGACCACUCUGUCCUGCUGCCGUCGGCCACAUCCCAAACUUGCAUCUGCCAGGCCACCUCCAGAUAGAAGAAACACUCAUAUACUUCCAACCUUGUAAUUUUGGCUCAAUCUGUGAGAUGAGAUGGAUCAAAGAGAGCACAUGAACUGAGCACUAAGCAAUGGAUCCGUCUACAUUUGACUUUUGGAAUGGACGGCGGCAAUUCCAGUUUUUGUUAUGUUGUUGUGAUCAGCUGGGCAGCAGUGGCAGCGAGGGAGAUAACCAGGGGCCGAGGGUUAGCAUGGAGAUCAUGCAUAUGCGGCUGGCAGCAACACUUGCAUUUGUGUGUGUAAAACUUAAGAGACCAGAUUUUUUUCACUUGGUAAAUAUGUUUUAGCUAAAUGUAAAUUGGAGCUCAUAGAAUUCUUUCCCUUGCAUUCCAUGGAAACAAUGAUGGUGGUUUGAGAAAUAUAUUCUCGGUUUUCUUAGCCAGGUUUGAUAGAGCAAUUUGUAGGAGCAGCAUUAUUGUAAUAUUAGCUAGUAUGAACCACCGUAUCUUCUUUUAUAUGUAAUAAUGGUUUGAGUC
Long non-coding RNA from Lolium rigidum, 4030 nucleotides. RefSeq lists it as uncharacterized. The record is from RefSeq and is a predicted model, not a curated record. Lineage: Eukaryota; Viridiplantae; Streptophyta; Magnoliopsida; Poales; Poaceae. The transcript has 12 exons.